Molecule: long non-coding RNA, 1227 nt
Organism: Bubalus bubalis (water buffalo)
Lineage: Eukaryota; Metazoa; Chordata; Mammalia; Artiodactyla; Bovidae
Exons: 4
Source: RefSeq, a predicted model, not a curated record
CCCCCCAGCCCUCCCGCUGGCCUCGCUCUGCAGCCAGCUCCCUGCCCAGCCGCCGCGCCUUCGGCGCCUGCCGAGAGGCCUUCUUAUCAAGAGGGAGAGGAGCCAGGGCAUGCAAUUGGGUGAGGUUUUCGGAGCACAGGUUGUCAGGUUUGUUAGGAGGGAGAGGGGAUUCGGGAGGAGAAACCAUCCUUCAACCUGUGGCCAAGUGUGUAUUUCAAUGUAUUCGUAGUUCACUUAGCUGAGAUGUCUCAACGGAAGCUAGACAACAAUGAUGAAAGAUCCAGAUUCAUUAGAAAGCUGAAGAGAAGAAAGAAAGCCUUUAUUCCAAACAGCUUGUCGUUACUUCUUCCGUGUCUAGAAGAGUUCCCUGAACACAGCGAGCGCUCAAUAAAUUAUUGUUGAAUGAAUCUAUGAAUGAGUAGGAAGGAUCUCAUUCAACCUUUUGAAGAAGCGUGACAGGAAACAUCAAUGAGAAUGAAUCUAAACAGUACUACGGCACACCUGGGAAGAAUUAAAGGCUUUUCCAAGCUAGUCCAUUGAAUAAACAUCCAGAGAUACAGAGUGCUCCAUUCCUCCAGGAGGCUUUUAUGAGAUCACCACAGAGUGGAGAUGAGAUGGAGUUUGAAGUUGCAUUCGUGGGCAGUCAGAGCAAUCACACAUUAAUCCUGCUGAAAGGAACAGAAUCCAGUCUGUAAGACAUUCGAAUGCUCCUGGGAGCUGACUGGUCUGCAGUUCUUCCCAGACCUUCAGUUCAGUUCAGUUCAGUCGCUCAGUCGUGUCUGACUCUUUGUGAUCCCAUGAAUCGCAGCACACCAGGCCUCCCUGUCCAUCACCAACUCCUGGAGUUCACUUAAUUAAUGGGAAUUCCUGGCAGAGGGGCCUCAUGAGAGCCAAAGCAGACAGUGGGUGAGCUGUUUGGAGAUCAUGCUUGCUUAUUGCCAAGUGGACACACGGUCUUUGGGCAUCUCAUGAAAGGAGAAUCCUGAAGCUCCCUGUGUGUGAGGAAGGCUGGCAGCCUACAACUUUGUUCUGCCCCUCUGUCCGGUUCCAUCACAGCCAACCUCACACAUCCACCUCACUACCUUCUCCUUCUGCUUCCUGAGGAAAAAUUUGGCUCUACCAAUGAUAGCUUUCACUACUUUGUUAGAGUAUUGUUCUUGUUCAGUUGCUAAGUCGUGUACCACUCUUUGCAAACUCAUGGACUGCUGCACGCCAGGCUUCCCUGUU